UACGUAGGGGCAAGCGUUAUCCGGAAUUACUGGGUGUAAAGGGUGAGUAGGCGGCAAGUUAAGUAAGAUGUGAAAGCCUGCGGCUUAACUGCAGGAUUGCAUUUUAAACUAAUCAGCUAGAGUACAGGAGAGGUAAGCGGAAUUCCUAGUGUAGCGGUGAAAUGCGUAGAUAUUAGGAAGAACACCGGUGGCGAAGGCGGCUUACUGGACUGAAACUGACGCUGAGGCACGAAAGCGUGGGGAGCGAACAGGAUUAGAUACCCUGGUAGUCCCU
This 274-nucleotide ribosomal RNA is filed under the name uncultured prokaryote. Its description in RNAcentral is "partial 16S ribosomal RNA". It matches the Rfam family "Bacterial small subunit ribosomal RNA", at positions 524 to 798 of the family's 1533-position model. The record is from RNAcentral.